UUAGAGUUUGAUCCUGGCUCAGGAUGAACGCUGGCGGCGUGCUUAACACAUGCAAGUCGAACGGUGAAGCCCAGCUUGCUGGGUGGAUCAGUGGCGAACGGGUGAGUAACACGUGAGCAACCUGCCCCUGACUCUGGGAUAAGCGCUGGAAACGGCGUCUAAUACUGGAUAUGUGACGUGACCGCAUGGUCUGCGUCUGGAAAGAAUUUCGGUUGGGGAUGGGCUCGCGGCCUAUCAGCUUGUUGGUGAGGUAAUGGCUCACCAAGGCGUCGACGGGUAGCCGGCCUGAGAGGGUGACCGGCCACACUGGGACUGAGACACGGCCCAGACUCCUACGGGAGGCAGCAGUGGGGAAUAUUGCACAAUGGGCGCAAGCCUGAUGCAGCAACGCCGCGUGAGGGAUGACGGCCUUCGGGUUGUAAACCUCUUUUAGCAGGGAAGAAGCGAAAGUGACGGUACCUGCAGAAAAAGCGCCGGCUAACUACGUGCCAGCAGCCGCGGUAAUACGUAGGGCGGCAAGCGUUAUCCGGAAAUUAUUGGGCGUAAAGAGCUCGUAGGCGGUUUGUCGCGUCUGCUGUGAAAUCCCGAGGCUCAACCUCGGGCCUGCAGUGGGUACGGGCAGACUAGAGUGCGGUAGGGGAGAUUGGAAUUCCUGGUGUAGCGGUGGAAUGCGCAGAUAUCAGGAGGAACACCGAUGGCGAAGGCAGAUCUCUGGGCCGUAACUGACGCUGAGGAGCGAAAGGGUGGGGAGCAAACAGGCUUAGAUACCCUGGUAGUCCACCCCGUAAACGUUGGGAACUAGUUGUGGGGUCCAUUCCACGGAUUCCGUGACGCAGCUAACGCAUUAAGUUCCCCGCCUGGGGAGUACGGCCGCAAGGCUAAAACUCAAAGGAAUUGACGGGGACCCGCACAAGCGGCGGAGCAUGCGGAUUAAUUUCGAUGCAACGCGAAGAACCUUACCCAAGGCUUGACAUAUACGAGAACGGGCCAGAAAUGGUCAACUCUUUGGACACUCGUAAACAGGUGGUGCAUGGUUGUCGUCAGCUCGUGUCGUGAGAUGUUGGGUUAAGUCCCGCAACGAGCGCAACCCUCGUUCUAUGUUGCCAGCACGUAAUGGUGGGAACUCAUGGGAUACUGCCGGGGUCAACUCGGAGGAAGGUGGGGAUGACGUCAAAUCAUCAUGCCCCUUAUGUCUUGGGCUUCACGCAUGCUACAAUGGCCGGUACAAAGGGCUGCAAUACCGCGAGGUGGAGCGAAUCCCAAAAAGCCGGUCCCAGUUCGGAUUGAGGUCUGCAACUCGACCUCAUGAAGUCGGAGUCGCUAGUAAUCGCAGAUCAGCAACGCUGCGGUGAAUACGUUCCCGGGUCUUGUACACACCGCCCGUCAAGUCAUGAAAGUCGGUAACACCUGAAGCCGGUGGCCUAACCUUUUUGGAGGGAGCCGUCGAAGGUGGGAUUGGUAAUUAGGACUAAGUCGUAACAAGGUAACC
This 1489-nucleotide ribosomal RNA is filed under the name Microbacterium sp. LH-CAB3. Its description in RNAcentral is "16S ribosomal RNA". It matches the Rfam family "Bacterial small subunit ribosomal RNA". Lineage: Bacteria; Bacillati; Actinomycetota; Actinomycetes; Micrococcales; Microbacteriaceae. The record is from RNAcentral.